This 481-nucleotide ribosomal RNA is filed under the name uncultured bacterium. RNAcentral describes it as "bacterial SSU rRNA". It matches the Rfam family "Bacterial small subunit ribosomal RNA", at positions 28 to 511 of the family's 1533-position model. The record is from RNAcentral.
GAUGAACGCUAGCGGCAGGCUUAACACAUGCAAGUCGAGGGGUAUGCCGAUUUAUCGGCAGAGACCGACGCACGGGUGCGUAACGCGUAUGCAAUCUACCUUUCACAGAGGAUAGCCCAGAGAAAUUUGGAUUAAUACCUCAUAGUAUAGCAGUUUCGCAUGAAACCACUAUUAAAGUUCCAACGGUGAAAGAUGAGCAUGCGUCCCAUUAGCUAGAUGGUAAGGUAACGGCUUACCAUGGCUACGAUGGGUAGGGGUCCUGAGAGGGAGAUCCCCCACACUGGUACUGAGACACGGACCAGACUCCUACGGGAGGCAGCAGUGAGGAAUAUUGGUCAAUGGACGCAAGUCUGAACCAGCCAUGCCGCGUGCAGGAUGACGGUCCUAUGGAUUGUAAACUGCUUUUAUACAGGAAGAAACACUCCGACGUGUCGGAGCUUGACGGUACUGUAAGAAUAAGGAUCGGCUAACUCCGUGCCAG